AGAUUUAUAAGUUUUAGCAGCGAUGUUUAUGUCGCCGCAAAAAAUAUUUCGUCAGAGUUCCGCUCUACCGGCGAAUUUCAACGGAGAAUAUAACACUUUUUCCGGCGACUAGAGUUUCGCCACAAAAUCUCUGUUUGACACUUUUUUCGGCGACAAGUUUUCUCCGCAAAAUCUCAGCGGACACAUUUGCCGGCGAUUAUUUUUUGCCG
This 209-nucleotide long non-coding RNA is filed under the name Elaeis guineensis (African oil palm). Its description in RNAcentral is "long non-coding RNA (EGUI_LNC076257)". Lineage: Eukaryota; Viridiplantae; Streptophyta; Magnoliopsida; Arecales; Arecaceae. The record is from RNAcentral.